RNAcentral lists this transfer RNA (84 nucleotides) under Arthroclianthus deplanchei. RNAcentral describes it as "tRNA-Tyr". The record is from RNAcentral. Lineage: Eukaryota; Viridiplantae; Streptophyta; Magnoliopsida; Fabales; Fabaceae.
UAAACAAAAACGAAUUUUUUCAUUUAUUCAUUUUUUAAUCCAUUUGGCAAUAACAAACGUAUUAUGUAUGAGUAAUCUGUGUCG